UAGGGAAUCUUCGGCAAUGGGGGCAACCCUGACCGAGCAACGCCGCGUGAGUGAAGAAGGUUUUCGGAUCGUAAAGCUCUGUUGUAAGAGAAGAACGAGUGUGAGAGUGGAAAGUUCACGCUGUGACGGUAACUUACCAGAAAGGGACGGCUAACUACGUGCCAGCAGCCGCGGUAAUACGUAGGUCCCGAGCGUUAUCCGGAUUUAUUGGGCGUAAAGCGAGCGCAGGCGGUUAGAUAAGUCUGAAGUUAAAGGCUGUGGCUUAACCAUAGUACGCUUUGGAAACUGUUUAACUUGAGUGCAGAAGGGGAGAGUGGAAUUCCAUGUGUAGCGGUGAAAUGCGUAGAUAUAUGGAGGAACACCGGUGGCGAAAGCGGCUCUCUGGUCUGUAACUGACGCUGAGGCCCGAAAGCGUGGGGAGCAAACAGGAUUAGAUACCCUGGUAGUCCACGCCGUAAACGAUGAGUGCUAGGUGUUGGGUCCUUUCCGGGACUCAGUGCCGCAGCUAACGCAUUAAGCACUCCGCCUGGGGAGUACGACCGCAAGGUUG
RNAcentral lists this ribosomal RNA (550 nucleotides) under uncultured bacterium. Its description in RNAcentral is "bacterial SSU rRNA". It matches the Rfam family "Bacterial small subunit ribosomal RNA", at positions 355 to 896 of the family's 1533-position model. The record is from RNAcentral.